Molecule: ribosomal RNA, 615 nt
Filed under: uncultured Dysgonomonas sp.
Lineage: Bacteria; Pseudomonadati; Bacteroidota; Bacteroidia; Bacteroidales; Dysgonomonadaceae
Description: bacterial SSU rRNA
Rfam family: Bacterial small subunit ribosomal RNA
Source: RNAcentral
CGCCCUUAGAGUUUGAUCCUGGCUCAGGAUGAACGCUAGCGACAGGCCUAACACAUGCAAGUCGAGGGGUAAGUGUAGCAAUACAUUACGACCGGCGCACGGGUGAGUAACACGUAUGCAACCUACCUAUUACAGGGGGAUAGCCCGUUGAAAGACGGAUUAAUACCGCAUAAUACAUUUUUCGCAUGAGAAGAUGUUAAAGAUUUAUUGGUAAUAGAUGGGCAUGCGUUUCAUUAGCUAGUUGGUAAGGUAACGGCUUACCAAGGCAACGAUGAAUAGGGGAACUGAGAGGUUUAUCCCCCACACUGGUACUGAGACACGGACCAGACUCCUACGGGAGGCAGCAGUGAGGAAUAUUGGUCAAUGGACGAGAGUCUGAACCAGCCAAGUCGCGUGAAGGAUGACUGCCCUCGGGUUGUAAACUUCUUUUGUACUAGAGUAAAGUGUGGGACGUGUCCUAUAUUGCAAGUAUAGUACGAAUAAGCAUCGGCUAACUCCGUGCCAGCAGCCGCGGUAAUACGGAGGAUGCGAGCGUUAUCCGGAUUUAUGGGUUUAAAGGGUGCGUAGGCGGAAGCUUAAGUCAGGGUUGAAAGUUUGGGGCUCAACCUUAAAAUG